This 254-nucleotide ribosomal RNA is filed under the name uncultured Pseudomonas sp. Its description in RNAcentral is "partial 16S ribosomal RNA". It matches the Rfam family "Bacterial small subunit ribosomal RNA", at positions 99 to 354 of the family's 1533-position model. Lineage: Bacteria; Pseudomonadati; Pseudomonadota; Gammaproteobacteria; Pseudomonadales; Pseudomonadaceae. The record is from RNAcentral.
CGGACGGGUGAGUAAUGCCUAGGAAUCUGCCUGGUAGUGGGGGACAGCGUUUCGAAAGGAACGCUAAUACCGCAUACGUCCUACGGGAGAAAGCAGGGGACCUUCGGGCCUUGCGCUAUCAGAUGAGCCUAGGUCGGAUUAGCUAGUUGGUGAGGUAAUGGCUCACCAAGGCGACGAUCCGUAACUGGUCUGAGAGGAUGAUCAGUCACACUGGAACUGAGACACGGUCCAGACUCCUACGGGAGGCAGCAGAU